UGGCAUUCCAUAACAAAAUUUUCACAUUAAAUUGUCAAAACUUUAUUAAGAACAAAUUCGGCCGAAACCAAUCAGCUUAGAGGUUGCUGGCUGACAGGAACAAAUGGAUUGAGUUCCAAAUGAAGACGACAGCACCUUCCGGUGUCUGGAGGCAGUGGGUGCGAAGUCCUUCGAGGUAAAUGGAGCAAAUCCUUCAGCAGCUGCAAUAAAAAUCGAAUCAUGUUAACAAAGGAGUGAAAUGAAGCGCAGACAAAAAGCCAACCAACUAAGAUGGCGACCGAUUAAAAGUAAGCGGGCAGAACUGUUGAGCGGCCAUGAAACCCGAAAUCGGAUAGGGGAUACGUGUACACUUACAAAUAUUUAUGGUAAAACCAAUCAAUUCCGCAUUUAAAACGCGGAGACGAUCAUUGUUAACUGAAUUUACAAAAAUGUAAUGUAAUUAACAGUAAAUGUUAAGUGCUUAAAUUA
This is a long non-coding RNA of Drosophila rhopaloa, 468 nucleotides long. RefSeq lists it as uncharacterized. The transcript has 3 exons. Lineage: Eukaryota; Metazoa; Arthropoda; Insecta; Diptera; Drosophilidae. The record is from RefSeq and is a predicted model, not a curated record.